AGUGAACGCUGGCGGUAGGCCUAACACAUGCAAGUCGAACGGCAGCACAGUAAGAGCUUGCUCUUACGGGUGGCGAGUGGCGGACGGGUGAGGAAUACAUCGGAAUCUACUUUUUCGUGGGGGAUAACGUAGGGAAACUUACGCUAAUACCGCAUACGACCUACGGGUGAAAGCAGGGGAUCUUCGGACCUUGCGCGAUUGAAUGAGCCGAUGUCGGAUUAGCUAGUUGGCGGGGUAAAGGCCCACCAAGGCGACGAUCCGUAGCUGGUCUGAGAGGAUGAUCAGCCACACUGGAACUGAGACACGGUCCAGACUCCUACGGGAGGCAGCAGUGGGGAAUAUUGGACAAUGGGCGCAAGCCUGAUCCAGCCUUACCGCGUGGGUGAAGAAGGCCUUCGGGUUGUAAAGCCCUUUUGUUGGGAAAGAAAAGCAGCAGGUUAAUACCCCGCUGUUCUGACGGUACCCAAAGAAUAGGCACCGGCUAACUUCGUG
This 492-nucleotide ribosomal RNA is filed under the name uncultured bacterium. RNAcentral's name for it is "partial 16S ribosomal RNA". It matches the Rfam family "Bacterial small subunit ribosomal RNA", at positions 29 to 507 of the family's 1533-position model. The record is from RNAcentral.